GACGACGGUCUUGCUAUUUUGAAUAUGCUAAUGCAAGUAUUUAAGCUUGGGGGAUCUUGAAAUAAUCAUCAGAAUUAAUAUAAAAUUGUACUAGAUUUUGUAACCUUGUUCUUUAUCCUUUAGCAUGGCAAGCAAAGAUGAUUCAUAUUAUGAUUUCAUGGGUGUAGGUGACGGUAAGAAGGAAUUAAAGGAGCUCGUGCAGAAAGAAUCUUCUACUUCUGAAGAAGGAAAACAAUCUCAGCUAAUAAGUAAAAGAAAAGAUCCUGCCUCUUCUUCCAAUGAGAAAAAAACUGAGAGAAAUAUCAAAGAUAUAUUGAAUCAUCCAAAGGCUAAGGAUCUUGCUCAAAGGGUCUUGCGGGGCAGCAAAUGAUCAAAACUUUAUAUUAUGAACUUAUCUGUGGUAAGAUAUUAUGAGCUCAUAGACUGUAGUAAGAUUUUUUUUUUUUUUUUUUUUUGCAGUAAUUAAUUUGUGAGCUCUCAGUUUUAAUUGCAU
This 493-nucleotide long non-coding RNA is filed under the name Jatropha curcas. RNAcentral's name for it is "long non-coding RNA (JCUR_LNC002501)". The record is from RNAcentral. Lineage: Eukaryota; Viridiplantae; Streptophyta; Magnoliopsida; Malpighiales; Euphorbiaceae.